Molecule: ribosomal RNA, 497 nt
Filed under: uncultured bacterium
Lineage: Bacteria
Description: partial 16S ribosomal RNA
Rfam family: Bacterial small subunit ribosomal RNA
Source: RNAcentral
GAUGAACGCUGGCGGCGUGCCUAAUACAUGCAAGUCGAGCGAACAGACGAGGAUCUUUCUCCUCUGACGUUAGCGGCGGACGGGUGAGUAACACGUGGAUAACCUACCUCUAAGACUGGGUUAACUUCGGGAUACCUGAUCUCAUACCGGCUAUUAUAUUGAACCGCAUGGUUCAAUAGUGAAAGCCGUUUUUGCUGUCACUUAUAGAUGGUUCCGCGCCGCAUUAGCUAGUUGGUAAGGUAACGGCUUACCAAGGCAACGAUGCGUAGCCGACCUGAGAGGGUGAUCGGCCACACUGGAACUGAGACACGGUCCAGACUCCUACGGGAGGCAGCAGUAGGGAAUCUUCCGCAAAGGGCGAAAGCUUGACGGAGCAACGCCGCGUGAGUGAUGAAGGUCUUCGGAUCGUAAAACUCUGUUAUUAGGGAAGAACAAAUGUGUAAGUAAAUAUGCACGUCUUGACGGUACCUAAUCAGAAAGCCACGGCUAACUACGUG